GAUGAACGCUGGCGGCGUGCCUAACACAUGCAAGUCGAACGGAAAGACCCUGAGUUUGUGCGUUUCUCGAUUGCCGAACGCGUGUGUAUCACGUGUGUAUCCCGCCCUUGUCUUUCGGAUAACUUCACGAAACUGCGGCUAAUAUACGAUAGGAUCUCCUGCAGCGUGGGGGGCAUUGGAAAGAUACGGCUGUUGGGUAUGGACUCGCGGCUUAUCAGCUGGUUGGUGGGGUAGUUGCGUACCCAGCCUUUGACGGGUAGCCGGCCUGGGAGGGUGAACGGCCACAUUGGGACUGCGAGACGGCCCAGACUCCUACGGGAGGCAGCAGUGGGGAAUAUUGCACAAUGGGCGGAAGCCUGAUGCAACAACGCCGCGUGCGGGAUGACGGCCUUUGGGUUGUAAACAGCUUUCGCCUGUGACGAAGCGUGAGUGACGGUAAUGGGUAAAGAAGCACCGGCUAACUACGUG
RNAcentral lists this ribosomal RNA (468 nucleotides) under uncultured bacterium. RNAcentral's name for it is "partial 16S ribosomal RNA". It matches the Rfam family "Bacterial small subunit ribosomal RNA", at positions 28 to 507 of the family's 1533-position model. The record is from RNAcentral.